AGUGGACGCUGGCGGUAGGCCUAACACAUGCAAGUCGAACGGCAGCACAGUAAGAGCUUGCUCUUACGGGUGGCGAGUGGCGGACGAGUGAGGAAUACAUCGGAAUCUACUUUUUCGUGGGGGAUAACGUAGGGAAACUUACGCUAAUACCGCAUACGACCUACGGGUGAAAGCAGGGGAUCUUCGGACCUUGCGCGAUUGAAUGAGCCGAUGUCGGAUUAGCUAGUUGGCGGGGUAAAGGCCCACCAAGGCGACGAUCCGUAGCUGGUCUGAGAGGAUGAUCAGCCACACUGGAACUGAGACACGGUCCAGACUCCUACGGGAGGCAGCAGUGGGGAAUAUUGGACAAUGGGCGCAAGCCUGAUCCAGCCAUACCGCGUGGGUGAAGAAGGCCUUCGGGUUGUAAAGCCCUUUUGUUGGGAAAGAAAAGCAGCAGGUUAAUACCCCGCUGUUCUGACGGUACCCAAAGAAUAAGCACCGGCUAACUUCGUG
Molecule: ribosomal RNA, 492 nt
Filed under: uncultured bacterium
Lineage: Bacteria
Description: partial 16S ribosomal RNA
Rfam family: Bacterial small subunit ribosomal RNA
Source: RNAcentral